GGGAUUCCAAAACAUAUUAGGGCACUUAAUUGUUUGUUCUAGAAGCCCUAAACCUUCCUUAAAGUCCUUGCCGCACAAAAGCAUCCUUUCUUUCCUAUUUUCUGAUCUUAAAACCACAUUCCCUUUUAUUCAAGCAACCAGCCGCACCUUUCCCCUCUUUCUUACCUAUUUUCUGACCCAAAAUUACAUUCCCCUUUGUUCUAAAGCCUUGCCAUACAAGGGGAUAGGAUUCUUACCUAUUUUGUGCCUCAAAACACAUUCCUAAAUCUGCCCUACAAUCUUUGCCGGAUUUCCCUUCCUUUUCUCUUUAAUUCCUGCACCUUACUUGCCUAUUUUCCAUUGAUUUCUGACUUUUAAUUAUAGGACAAAAUAGCUAAGUUAUUUCUUUCCCUAAAACUCAUAAAAACUGUGUCCUAGCCCUAUAUAAAACCCCUUUUUGCCGCAAACUAGGGGAGCUCUUUUCUCUGCUCUUCUCAUCAGCCAUUCCACACUCCAUCCUUCACCAUAACCUACCUACAUCCAUCCACCACCACAAAUCACCACAAAAACCUUCACCCAUCCCUUGUGCCGCAGCAAAGAAGAAGGAAUGAGACCCUUAGACGUGCUUGCCAUUCAAGACGUUGGAUUGUUGGAGCGUUUCUAGGUGUUUUCAUUCUUUGUUUUCAAUGUCUAAAUUUAUGUAUCUUUGUUUUGUGGACAUGAGGAACUAAGCCCUUCUUGGCUAGGGGGCUAUUCAAAACCAUGAUUAUAUUUGCAUUAUGAAUUGAUUACCUUUAGUUGUUAUUUCAUAAGUUGUGAAUUCAAUUUGCUUAACCGUUUGAUUGAUAACUUAUUCUUGUAUGUUUAUUAAGAGUGCACACUUAGUUUUCAUGCAAGGAUUUGAAGCUAAAAUAUAAGGGAGUUUCACCUAAUAGUUACAAACUUAUAUUUGCAAGUAGUGGAGGUCGCUUAUAAACGAUCGUGUUAAGUGAAUUCUUGGCAAAAGUUUCAUGCUUUUCAUAGUAACAAUUGCCUCGUCAAUGCUUAUAGUUUUCAUGAAACUUAAUGAUCUUUGAUUGUACCUUUAUUGUGCUUUUCACGUAGGGGACUUUUAGAGAAUGCUUUGAGUUGUUGUAUGUGCUUUCCCAUCCAAUUCAUUAACUUAAAGAGAACUUGAAGGUUAAAAAAGUGUUGUCACAGUUAACCUGGAGUAUUGAGUUUCAUGACUUAUUGAGAGAAGCAAUUGGAAAUCAAUUUGAAUGCAAGUGUGUCAUGUGUGGAGAAGAACUCUCUAGCUAGCCCAUCAUCCAUCUAAUUCAACAAAUUUCGGGCAAAUCUGUUUAGUUUUAAUUCUUGCUUUGUUUUCCUUAUUUUCGUCCAAAACCAAAAUCCCCUUUACUAUAUUGAGUCAUAUUAGUUAGAACUUGUUUUAGAUUGUGUUUUUAAGUGUUUUAAGUCAAGAUAUAAUCAAUUUUCGUCCAAAACUUGUGUUAGUAGCAGAAACUGCCUUAGUGUUGUUUUUAGGCAAUUUUGAGUCUUUUAAGUUUGUUUUCAGUCUUGUGAGUCUUGUUAAGUGUUUUUAAGUUUAUUAUUGUGUUUCUAAGUCAGUUUAGAGUAGAUUAGCAAUCCCUCCUAAUCCCCGGUCCAGAACGAUCCCUACUUAUCCAUACUACAAUUGUCAACAAGAUGGUUUAAUUUGUGUGUUAAGUUAAUUUACGCAUCAGAGUGAGAAGGUUCCUGGCCACCAUCACAGCGGUCAUAACAUUCUUCGUCACAGAGUCCCCAACGGUAAGAGGACCAGUAGGGGAUAAGAAGGAUGGGCGCCAUAUAUUGUCUUAAGAAGGCAUGGCUGCCUCUUCACCAAAGUUCAAGUCAAAAUGACGGUCGGAUGGGCCAGACAUUCUCAGAAAUGAUGAAGGAGAAAUGAGGUGCAAUAAAUCUCUGAAGUAAAAAAAUAAGGGGAAAAUUCCUACAAGCAAUAACUCUCUGAAUGUACUUCUUACACACAAUUGGUGCUCUUAUAAAAGAAAGGGUAACAGGGUUGU
RNAcentral lists this long non-coding RNA (2024 nucleotides) under Malus domestica (apple). RNAcentral's name for it is "long non-coding RNA (MDOM_LNC005710)". The record is from RNAcentral. Lineage: Eukaryota; Viridiplantae; Streptophyta; Magnoliopsida; Rosales; Rosaceae.